RNAcentral lists this ribosomal RNA (440 nucleotides) under uncultured bacterium. Its description in RNAcentral is "partial 16S ribosomal RNA". It matches the Rfam family "Bacterial small subunit ribosomal RNA", at positions 338 to 795 of the family's 1533-position model. The record is from RNAcentral.
CCUACGGGAGGCAGCAGUGGGGAAUAUUGCACAAUGGGGGAAACCCUGAUGCAGCGACGCCGCGUGAGUGAAGAAGUAUCUCGGUACGUAAAGCUCUAUCAGCAGGGAAGAAAAUGACGGUACCUGACUAAGAAGCCCCGGCUAACUACGUGCCCGCAGCCGCGUUAAUGCGUAGGGGGCAAGCGUUAUCCGGAUUUACUGGGUGUAAAGGGAGCGUAGACGGCAGCACAAGUCUGGAGUGAAAUCCCGGGGCUUAACCCCGGAACUGCUUUGGAAACUGUGGGGCUGGAGUGCAGGAGGGGUAAGCGGAAGUCCUAGUGUAGCGGUGAAAUGCGUAGAUAUUAGGAGGAACACCGGUGGCGAAGGCGGCUUACUGGACUGUAACUGACGUUGAGGCUCGAAAGCGUGGGGAGCAAACAGGAUUAGAUACCCCUGUAGUC